GGGCCCGUAGCUCAGUUCGGAUAGAGCGGCUGGCUUCGGUUCCGUAAAACGGAGGAGAAACCAGCAAGUCGGGGGUUCAAAUCCCUCCGGGCCCG
RNAcentral lists this transfer RNA (95 nucleotides) under uncultured organism. Its description in RNAcentral is "tRNA-Arg". It matches the Rfam family "tRNA". Rfam says of the family: Transfer RNA (tRNA) molecules are approximately 80 nucleotides in length. Their secondary structure includes four short double-helical elements and three loops (D, anti-codon, and T loops). Further hydrogen bonds mediate the characteristic L-shaped molecular structure. tRNAs have two regions of fundamental functional importance: the anti-codon, which is responsible for specific mRNA codon recognition, and the 3' end, to which the tRNAs corresponding amino acid is attached (by aminoacyl-tRNA synthetases). tRNAs cope with the degeneracy of the genetic code in two manners: having more than one tRNA (with a specific anti-codon) for a particular amino acid; and 'wobble' base-pairing, i.e. permitting non-standard base-pairing at the 3rd anti-codon position. The record is from RNAcentral.